Long non-coding RNA from Mytilus californianus (California mussel), 743 nucleotides. RefSeq lists it as uncharacterized. The record is from RefSeq and is a predicted model, not a curated record. Lineage: Eukaryota; Metazoa; Mollusca; Bivalvia; Mytilida; Mytilidae. The transcript has 3 exons.
AUUUGCAUAAACGGAGUGUCACGGCUUUAAAACCACUUGUUGAAGACCAAGUAUCAUCAGACUUGUAGCUUGCCUCCUAACAACAAGUAGGACAUAUUAACUUGAAAGUUUCAGUAGAUUUUCUGAUCACAGACACAAUGAAGUGCGUAUUGAUAAUUGCCUUAGUGUUGUGUGUGAUGGUAGCUCAUGUCCGAUCACAGGCCGCUGGUCAAGCAGCACAGAGACAACAAGCAGUCAGGCAAAUGCGUGGAGGUAGCAGUAGUGCCAUGUUGCCAGCAUUGAUGGCAAUGGGAAAAGGCGGCAAAAUGAACCCUUUGAUGCUUCAGAUGCUCAUGUCCGGUAGAGGCGGAAGAGGUGGUAUGGGAAGCAUGAUGCCCCUUAUGUUGAUGGCUGAAGGAGGAAUGGGCGAGUCCAUGCUUCCACUUUUAUUAAUGUCCCAAGGUCAAGGAGGAUCAUCAUCCGGAGGCCAAGGAUCAUCAAGUGGCGGCGGACUUAUGAAUAUGUUAUUAAUGAACCGCAUGUUUAAUUAAGUUGAAUGUGUCCCGUAGACAGUGACUGUAACAUAAGAUGUGAUCUAUGAACGUUUAAUGACUGUGUGAUACUAUCCGUCGAUAUUUAUAAAACAGACAUCUUUGGCCUGUAUUUGUUGAUUGUGUUGUUUGCUUUUCACGUGCUGUUGUUUGUAAAAAAUAAACUAAACAAACUCGUGGUGUAUGCCUUGCUUUUGUUUAAUUAAUUUCUUG